GCCCAGCUAGCUCAGUCGGUAGAGCAUGAGACUCUUAAUCUCAGGGUCGUGGGUUCGCACCCCACAUUGGGCA
Molecule: transfer RNA, 73 nt
Organism: Neotoma lepida (desert woodrat)
Lineage: Eukaryota; Metazoa; Chordata; Mammalia; Rodentia; Cricetidae
Rfam family: tRNA
About the family: Transfer RNA (tRNA) molecules are approximately 80 nucleotides in length. Their secondary structure includes four short double-helical elements and three loops (D, anti-codon, and T loops).
Source: Rfam